AUUGAACGCUGGCGGAAUGCCUUACACAUGCAAGUCGAACGGCAGCACGGGAGCAAUCCUGGUGGCGAGUGGCGAACGGGUGAGUAAUACAUCGGAACGUGCCCAAUCGUGGGGGAUAACGUAGCGAAAGCUACGCUAAUACCGCAUACGAUCUACGGAUGAAAGCAGGGGAUCGCAAGACCUUGCGCGAAUGGAGCGGCCGAUGGCAGAUUAGGAGUUGGUGAGGUAAAGGCUCACCAAGCCUUCGAUCUGUAGCUGGUCUGAGAGGACGA
Molecule: ribosomal RNA, 272 nt
Filed under: uncultured bacterium
Lineage: Bacteria
Description: partial 16S ribosomal RNA
Rfam family: Bacterial small subunit ribosomal RNA
Source: RNAcentral